GGCAAGCGGUUGCCAGUUGAUGCGGCAACAGUGCUGCCAGCCGCUGGCCCAGAUCUCAGAGCAGGCUCGGUGCCAGGCUGUCUGCAGCGUGGCCCAGGUCAUCAUGCGACAGCAGCAAGGGCAAAGUUUCGGUCAGCCUCAGCAACAAGUGCAAAGUUUCAGCCAGCCUCAGCACCAGGUUCCGAUUGAGAUAACGAGGAUGGUGCUCCAGACCCUUCCAUCGAUGUGCAACGUGAACAUCCCGCAAUAUUGCACCACCACCCCAUGCAGGACCAUCACUCAGACCCCCUACAACAUCCCUAUGACCGCUACCUGUGUUGGUGGUACCUGCUAAGAUCUGUGCUGCGCUAACUAGAUCGAUCGCCAUUUAGUUUAGAUGAUGGAUGAAGGGUGAAAAAUAAAGUAAAAGUGCCAUAUAUCAUCAUGUGUGGCCAGUACUGAUGCGACAUAGAAAUAAGAAACCUUUGUUUCUCAAUAAAGCUUUUGUCUGAAUAAAAUUGCAUGUUUUGCAUGAUAAGUGAGAUCAUAGAAGUAUCUCACCUUAUUGAAGUACUAUUGCAACUUUAAAUAACAAACAUCUGCUCCUGAAUAAAUCUGUUGUCAAAAUAAAAUUGCAUGUUUUGCGCGAUAGAUGAAAUCUCAGAAGCAUCUGACCGAAGUGGACCAUCAAUCUAUUGUAUGCCUCCCACUAAAUCAAGAUAAAUUCAGAACACGAAAGGACAAAUAAAAGAGCAGCACAAGGCACAUAUGGAGAAUGGAGAGAGAGCAGAUCAAACAACACAUGGCCACAAACAUGUAUGACCAAUAUAAAGAGGUGCCGGAUUUGAAACAAUGUUGACAUAUUCACUAUGUGCUUUCUUGUUCAAUCACAGAAUUAAUGUCAACCAAGCUGGUACAUAAGAAGUCAAUUAAUCCCUGUAGAGCCACUGCAGUAUGAUCACUUCCUGGAGACAAUAUAAUAAAUAUUAUUGUGCAUAAUACAUUUGCAAAGUCAAGAAAACAUGGAAGUUACAAAACCUAGUAGAUAUAACUGAAUAAUAUUUAAAGUCAUAAGAUAUAUUUUCAUAAUUUCACACCUAAUUAUACCUUUUUUUAUGCCACAUGAUUGUCUUUUUAUUUCAUAUAUACGAAUGAAUAUUGGCACACCCACAUAUUUUAUUUUACUGUGUUACACCAUUAAGAAAACCUUCUACUCUAGGAGUGGUUUAUUUUCCGUGAAACAAAUGAAAUCUAUGACACAUCUCACUGAAUUGAAGAAUCAUCAUACUCUACAUGGCUCCCAAUUAAACCAAAAAUUCACAACAUGAAGAGAGGGACGGUACAUACGUAAGAAGAGAUCCUGGAUCAAGGAACAUACACACAUGAACAAGCUUCAUAAAAAUAUUAAUGGAUUUGAUAACAUUGUUGACACACGUAAAGUUAUUAUCCAACACACACGAUAAAACUCAAUGCUACAUCAGAAGCUGAUUAAUUGCCGACAUGUCAUAGCCAUGAGCAUUGUGCAGCACAAUCACGGGCGGGACACAACAUAUAUUAAUAUUCUUGUGCUAGCCACAUUUUGGUGCCAAGUCAAGAAACCGUGGAGGUACCAAAAACUGAACACGCAUACUGUUGGAUACAAGAUAGAAGAAUGAAGGAUAUGUAUACUGGAAUAUAACUCUAUUGAGAAGCAACACUUGAUACAACGAAAUUUCAUAGGAAUGAUUUUUCUAGCGAACUACUCCCUCUGUAUCUAAAUAUAAGUCUUUUUUACAGAUUUCAAUAUGGACUAUAUACGGAAAAAAAAUGAGUUAAUCUAUACUCUAAAGUAUGGAAGCGAAUUAGGAGCACUCGGGUGCUCCACCCCCUAUAUUCAAAAAUAAUUUAAUAAUUCAAAAAAGUCAAAAAAAUACUGGAUAUAUUUUUGAAACAAAUAUGACUAGGUAUUGUAUUCAUAUAAAAAGUUUGGCCAAGGAAUGACUCUCGUUGAUUUCAGGGCAAAAAAAACAAAAUUUAUGAUGACAAUAUAGCAUGAAUAGUACUUGUAUAUAGCAUUUUUUUUUUAAAUCUUUGACCCCGGAUAUAAUAAAAGACAUUCCGUGUUUAAUCUUUGUAUACGAGUGCAAUACUUGGUCAUGUUUGAUUCCAUAAAAAGUUCCAGGAUUUUUUGAUUUUUUUGAAUUACUAAAUUAUUUUUAAAUAUAGGGGGGCGUAGCACCCCAGAGCUCCUAUGCAUUUUCGCUGAAGUAUGUCUAUAUACAUCCUUAUGUAGUAGUUCUUAUUGAUAUCUCUAAAAUACACUUAUAUUUAGGAAUGGAGGGAGUACAUGGUCACCUAUAUCACGAUAUAAUUCUAUAGUAAAGGGUUAAGCACCUUGUUCGCAAGAUUAUUAUCGGGGCGGAGUCAAAGGGUUCCAUUCUGGUUUAGCUUACUCCCUCCGUCCGCGAAUAAGUGUACUUCUAACUUUUGUCCUAAGUCAAAGUUUUAAAACUUUGACCAACUAUAUACAAAAAAGUAGUAACAUAUAUGAUAUCAAAUUGAUAUAUUAUGAAAAUACAUUUCAAAACAGAUCUAGUGAUACUAAUUUAGUGUCAUAAAUGCUGCUACUUUUUUCCAUAAAGUUGGUCAAAGUUUUAAAACUUUGACUUAAGACAAAAGCUAGAAGUACACUUAUUCGCGAACAGAAGGAUAUGUGUACUGGAAUAUAACUCUAUUGAGAAGCAACACUUGAUAAAACGUGUUGAUAAUGUAAGAGAGGUCGGGAUAGACCAAACUUGAGAUGUGAGAAGUCUGAAGGACUGAAGUAUCAACAAAGAACUAGCCAUGGAAAGGGGUGCAUUAAAGUUAACUAUCCAUGUGCCAGAACCAUGAGUUGGUUGCGAGAUCUUCAGCUCAAGCUACCUCAACUUAUUUGUUGUUGUUGUUGUUGAAAAGAUGCAGUAUACUCCCUCCAUUCCAAAAUAGAUGACCCAACUUUAGUUUCAAAAUAGAUGACCCAACGGAGGGAGUACAUCUAUAGGUCCAUGUGUAUUGUUUUCAGAUUUUUUGGAACUUCAAAAUAUGACUUUCCGAAUUUUGAAAAAAGAGCUUCAUGGAGCUCGAGCUAAAAAAAUCCAUUGUCCUCAUGAUACAUGCAUAAAACACAUACCUUUUACAAAAAAAAUAACAAGUUUAGGUUCACUGGCCAAAGCUACAAAAAUGCUACAUUAGACUUCCCACAUGUAAAACUAAUUUGAUGACUCAUGGCAUUUUAUCUCCUGCCAGCUUAUACAAGACUUUAAAACCAGUUCCAGGAAGCAAUUAAACUCGGCAUACAAAAAAAAAAAACUCAGUUUCACAUGCCGAAGCAUAGCCCCAUGACAAUCCUUGACAUGUAAAGGAAAAUUUAUGAGUCAUCAAUGCUCUGCUGAUGCCGUCUGUAUUACCAUUUACCAAUUAGUAGAACGAUACAAAAACCAGUUUUCAGAAAACAGCAAGAUGGAAUGCUGGACAUGCCAAUCUGAUUUAUAUCUAACAACUCGUACAAGACAACAAAACUGAUUUCGCAAAAAGACACAAUCGAGAUAUACGCUUGACAUGUAAAGUGGUCAGUGAUGAGUCAUAUGGAUUAUCGGGGUCAGGCGCAAGCUGACUGAUAUCUACACGAUAUGUGUUGAAAAGUAUAUUUGACGACCAUCCAAAAACGGACUCUUAGCACCACCUAACACAAGAUGACAGAUGAUUAGAUUGAAAAGUACGCAAAAGCUUUAUCAAAGCAACCAAGGAAUGCAAUGCACAACAUGAUGCCAUGGCAGCUAUAAAUAGGCCUGCACCAUGAAGACCCUCCCUCAUCACCCUUCACACAAACAUAAACACCAAAGCAAACUUAUAGCCAGCCACCAUGAAGAACCUGUUCAUCCUCGCUCUCCUCGCCUUCACGGCGACAAGCGCUGUUGCGCAGCUGUACACUACCUGUAGCCAGGGCUACGGGCAAUGCCAGCAGCAGCCGCAGCCGCAGCCGCAACCGCAGCCACAGCCGCAGAUGAACACAUGCGCUGCUUUCCUGCAGCAGUGCAGCCAGACAGCAUAUGUCCAGUCACAGAUGUGGCAGGCAAGCGGUUGCCAGUUGAUGCGGCAACAGUGCUGCCAGCCGCUGGCCCAGAUCUCGGAGCAGGCUCGGUGCCAGGCGGUCUGUAGCGUGGCACAGAUCAUCAUGCGGCAGCAGCAAGGGCAACGUUUCGGCCAGCCUCAGCAGCAGCAAGGGCAAAGUUUCGGGCAGCCUCAGCAGCAGGUUCCGGUUGAGAUAAUGGGGAUGGUGCUUCAGACCCUUCCGUCGAUGUGCAGCGUAAACAUCCCACAAUAUUGCACCACCACCCCGUGCAGCACCAUCGCCCCCGCCAUCUACAGCAUCCCCAUGACAGCUACCUGUGCUGGUGGUGCCUGCUAAGAUCUGUGAUGUGCUAGCUAGAUCGAUCACCGUUUAGUUGAUCGAUGAAGAGUUAUAAAAUAAAAGUGCCAUACAUCAUCAUGUGUGGCCAGUACCUCUGUUUCUGAAUAAAGCUUUUGUCCGAAUAAAAUCGCAUGUUUUACAUGAUAAAUGAAAUGUCAGAAGCUUUUCACCUUACUGAACCUUCUUACGUGGUGGAGUUACGGUCAGCCUCAGCAGCAGGUUCAGUUUGAGAUAAUGAGCAUGGUGCUUCACACCCUCCCGUCGAAGCACAGUUCAUACAUCCCGGCUUAUUGCACCACCACCCCCCUACAGCAUGCCUGUGGCUAUUAUUACCUGUGCUGGUGGUGGCUGCUAAGAUCUGUGCUGUGCUAGCUGGAUCGAUCAGUGUUCAGUUGAUCGAUGAAGCGGUGACAAAAUAAUGUGGCCAGUACGGAAAUAACAAACAUCUGCUCCUGAAUAAAGGUGUUAGCUGAAUAAAAUUGCAUGUUCUGUACGGUAGAAGAAAUCUCAGAAGCAUCUUACUGGAAUGAACCAAAACUCUAUAUUGUAUGGCUCCCAUUAUAUCAAAAGAAAUUCAAAACAUGAAAGGAGAAAUAAUAGAGGCACAAGGAACAUAUGGAAAGAGACCAGAUCAAAAAGCACACAGCCACAAACAUGUAUGAGCAACAUAAAGAGUUACCGGAUUCGAAACAGCGUUGACAUAUUAAGAAUGUGCUUUCUUGUCCAGUCACAGAAUUAAUGCCAACCAAGCUGCUACAUAAGAAUUCAAUUAAUCCCCAUAGACCCAGUGCAGGAUGAUCACUUCCUGGAGACAAUAUAGAUCAACAUUCUUGUACACAAUACAUUUGCCAAGUCAAGAAACCAUGGGAGUUACAGAACCUAGUGGCUAACUGAAUAAUACAAAAGCAGGAAUCGACAGGACUGGCAUUGUGAAAGACUAAGAAAAGCCUUGCAACUGCAACAAGCAACGAUGACCAAUCACUGGUCAACCCCGUAAACCAAACUGGGAAGCACCCAGAGGCUAUUUAGUGGACUGCAAUGGGCAGUGGCUGCGGAACUGAAUGACAUACGGUGAGUCGAGCUGGGCACCGGCUGUCCAACCUCUAUUGCAGUCCAUGGCUCAUCAAAAUCUUCUGAUUUUGUUGGAACAUAAAUAUAGUUACUCUUUCCUCCCCAUCUUUCAGGGUUCAUGCAAGAAAAUGUAGGGUUUCUCCUAUCAUUGGUGAGGAAGAGAGCCCAAUUGUCCAACUUAUCCAUCUUCACCCACUUAGCUGGUUCAACUGAGAAGUCGAGGCGGAAGACUUGAAAGGUGCCAGGAAAGCCAAACAGUUGGUCCAUGCUUACCGAGAGAUCUACCAAGAGAAGCAUGUCACCACAGACCACCAACCAUGGCUUAGAAUGAAGGCCUACGAGCAUGCUCUGUUCCCACAUAACUGCUACUUCCUGCAUGCUGAGCUCAGGUGAUAUGUGUAUGGUAUGUAGCCUUUGAACAAAGUCCAUGGCAAACAUCUGGCCUUUGAAGAGCACAAUCUGAUGGAUGAGUUCACCAACCUGAGGGUGCUCUGUCCAAGAAUUUGUUCCAACCUGCCACUGGAGCAUGGAGAUUCUCGAGAAAAGGAUGAGACGUGAAUUGGGCGAAUCUAGUGGAGCCGUAAGGAUGCCAAGGUAGAUCAAAGUGUUGCUCUCAGAUUGGAAUUUUGGUGGCUUCACCUUUGUGCCAGUGUACACAUCGACGAGAUGGCAGUGUCUCCUAUCAGAGAAGAUAAGAUAACCAUAUGAGCAGCCCAGAUAGCGCAUGGGAUGUGGAGUAAUUCCAGGCGCUGAACAACGAUGGGAUAAACUUUUCUUAGCAGGAUCAACAAGCUGCGAUUUCCGAUCUGAGUUGUAACUCUCCUGGCUUACAUCUGGUUUGAGGUGGAGAGGUGGGAAGCUGAAGGUAUAUACAGAUGGGAAGGAAGAGGCUGCGGCGUGCCAUGAGUGACAGGUGCCACGGAAAGCAAGGAAGUCAUGAAAUGAGCUAAUGAGCGAAAUGAUUUGGUGGAGCAGGCUGUCUAGAAGGCUUUCCCAGGCAUGAGAUCCCGAUGAGGAUGAGGAAAUAGAUCCAGAGGCAUCACAGAUUUUCUUAGAGGGCCUUGCUGCAACAGCAACUUCCCUGUCAUGGAGAAAAUUCAAGGGUCAGAAGAAAGAACUCAAAUAUAACAGAGAUAUAGCUAGUAAUUUAUUAGAAAUGUGGUAUAUAUGUGACAGAGGAGGUUGAAUUGGAUUUCCGGUAUAUAUGCUCUUACUAUACACACUAAGGCAAAAAAGCACGACUGUUUAACUGAACAAAGUUUAUUCCCAUUGUGAGAUGUAUAUAUCAAUAAUUCAAUAUGAACACCAAUGGUUCCUUCGUUGAGGCUACGGGGCAGGGACGUGCUGGUGCUUUAGCAAGGGACCACAAUGGCGUGGUCUUGCUUUCUACCUGGAGAAAGAGAAGCCUGUGUUCUGAGGCAGAGGAGGUUGAAGCUGUUCGAUGUGGUGAUUGGUUUGUCUCCGUCAGUUAUCUGAAAUUUACAGGGCGGCUGGUUGUGGGUGAAACGGACUGCACGGCCUUGUGGGGUGUACUGUCAGAAAAUUCAGAGAACAGAUCCUGCCGGGACUUCUACUACAGCAAGACAGAGAGACUGACAGAGUGCAGGCUGCGCAUAUAGGAUUGCAAGAGAGAGCAAUGGAGCAGCCCACCCGCCUGCAAAUUAUCGUAGAACAAACUAUCGCCAAGGAACAGACAAGUAAAUUAAGUUUCCCAUUCGAUUGUAACAACGCAUAUCAAUAUGCUAAACUUUAACCAGAACAGGGUACGUCAGGAUCACCUACAGCAUGAUAUUCUGUACAACAGAGUAUUGUCCUUAAUGUGCAACCACCCUAUGGUAUAUAAUUGUUGUGUUCAACCACUCUACGGUGUAAUUUCUUGGACGAGUUGCGAACAAUUUUACUGUUCAGAGCUCCCAGUUCCCCUAUGUACAGUACAGUACAGAUCGAGUCCAAUAGCAAUUUCACGCAGGAUGUCAGGAGUCAGGACAGGCGGCAACGGGGAAGACUAGGCUAGAUCUGUUCAAUAAGCUUCGGAUUGAGAAACCUAAGAGACAAGCAAGGUUAGGGUAAGGGCGCGCGAGGCGAGCACCUGGAGCUGAGGCUGGCUGGUGCCGGCGGCGGCGAGGGUUCGGCGGCCUGCUGCGGUCGCGCUCUCCGGCGCCGGCGGUGGCGCCGGUUCCCUGUCAUGCGCGCACGUACGGUGGCGUCCCCUCAACCGGCGGCUCCGGAUCGGCGCCGCCUACUGGUCGUCGGCGAGCGGCGGUGGUCGUCUCUCACUUUUUCGGGCGGUGGAGAGGCGUCCGAGAGGAGGCGGACUUUUUGCAGUUCGGGCCAGCGUCUCGGCCUUUAGCGCUAGCACGGGCCAGCCCAAGCACGGUACUGGGCUGAGAUAUAGUAGGGCCAUGUUCAGCCCAAAGCGAGCACGGAGCAUCCAAACGGGCCGCCCACAGCGAGCAUGUUACAGAAUGCUUUUCUGAAACCAAACAGCACCGUGAGGCAUGGCUUAACGGGGCACCAGGAACGUCAUCGUCGCAGUCAGAGGAAGGGAUGUGGAAAAAACUGUGGAAAACGGAGUACCAGGCAAAGUCCGGAUGUUUCUAUGGAGAUUGUCAAAACACUCCCUUCCCACUGAGGAUGUGUGAGCUCACCGCCAUAUGACGACGUCUAGCAGCUGCGGGCUAUGUGGGAUGCCGGAUUCGUGGAAACAUUCGCUGAUUCAAUGCACAAUGUCCAGAUGUGUAUGGGCCUUGGUGGAUGAGGAACUUGCACAUGAAAUGAUGGCGCUGACAGAGCCUAAAGCGAAGCAAUGGCUGUUCGCACUUAUUGAGUCCCUCACACAUGAUGAGUCUGUCCUCCUGUAGAUUACUCUGUGGUCAAUCUGGCAUGCGAGGCGCAAGGCGAUCCACGAGGGGAUUUUUCAGAGUCCUCAGGCAACACAAAUUUUCAUCAACAGAUACCGUGACGAGCUUAAUAUGAUCCGUCCGACAGUAAGAUGAACGAGUGCACCAAAUGCUCCAGUGGGACCGCAGAGACCCAAGGCACCUCCGACGGGUUUUGCAAAAAUUCACGUUGACGCAGCAGUACGACCAGGGAGAGGUGGGUCAGCGGCAGCGGUUUGUCGUGAUUCAAAAGGAAAUUAUUUAGGAAGUUUAGCCCUGGUGGUGGAAGGAGUGGAUGAUCCGGCUUCUCUGGAAGUUAUGGCAUGCAGGGAGGCAAUGUGUUUGGCAGAGGAUCUCCUUAUCAACAACUACAUUGUUGCCUCUGAUUGCAAGCAAGUUGUCUCCGACAUAAACUCGGGUAGUAGAGGGCAAUAUGGUGUCAUUCUGUCCGAGAUCAAUCUUCGAGCUAUCCUUUUUCAAUGUAUUUUUUCUUUUGAGUGUCGUGUUGUAAAUUAUGAAGCACAUAGUCUAGCCAGAUUCUCUCUUAGAAGGGGACCGGGGCGUCAUAUGUGGCUUGGCCAAUCCCAUGACCUAUCUUGUAUCCCACUCUCUGUGGACUUCGAUUAAUAAAGCUGGCUUUAUCCUAAAAAAAAGCUCCCUUGUUUUCGUUGAUUUUUUUUCAAAUUUUGCUUAUAUUUCAAAUAAUUAAAAAUAUAAAUACCUUCAAAUUAAUCUACAUAUUUUUUAUAAAAAACUUACGUACCAAUAAAAUUAUUUAUGUAAUGUAAAAACUUGUUUUUGUAUUAUUUUAAAAAUAUGCAUAUCAUUCAAAAAAAAUUCAUGACAUAACAAGUGUUCAAGUGUUUCAAAAAUAUGUUUAUGACAUUUUAAAAAACUGACUUAGUUUUGGAAAAAAAAAUUGUACCAUUCAAAACAUAUUUUCCUCGCAUUUUAGAAAAUGUUGGUAACACUCCAAAAUUCCUAAGCACACCUCUAAGUGAGAUGAGAUAGCAUAGCCGUAUAGGUAUGGCUAAGCACACCUCUAGGUAUGUAUUUCUAAUAUUAAUCCAUAGGGCACACCCCAAUGUCACCUCAGGCAACCCCAAAAAUUAUACUAAACAAUCACCUUAUAAUCUUUAUCUUUUCAAUCAUAAUUCGUAGAGUCACCCCAAUGUGAGUACCGAUAUGUUCUAAAAUUAUACUAGAUAUGCAUCACAUAAUCUCAUUGAUUUGCAAAAGAUUAAAGCCUACUUAAAGGAACUCAUAGCAGGAGCAAAAUCCAAUUCAUUACACCGAUAAUAUAAGGGAUACAUCACAUAGUUCGACUCCAUUAACAAGCCCAUGGUAACAAUCAAGAUUGGAAAAUGAUCACAAGAGUGAGGUAAAACAUAUUGUUAUUGGUACAAACGCUCAACCACGAGAGUGGGCUAAAAUUGCAUCACCAUAGGAGUAGCACGGUGAUGGAGAGGUUGAAGAGGAUCAAUUCGACCCUCAGACAGGGUGCCAGACAAUGGCCGAAGAAGAUCGCUUCGGAUAGAGAAGUGUCGACAACAGAAAAAUCUUUCAAGCAUUUUUUAGUAUAUGUAGAGCAAGGGGGGCGAGAGGCGGCAGGGAGGAGGUCAAGGGGCUCUGCGCGUCCCAGCGCUAGGUUGCGUCGUGGGUCCAUGCGAUGGCCUGGUGCCCCCUCCAGGUGAGCUUCUAGCCCAAGGUCUCUUUUGGCUUGAAAGUUCACAAAAGAUUUUUAUUUCAAUUUUUUUGUCCUAAAAAAAUAUUACUUAUGCAAAUUCAAAAUAUAUGCAGUACUGACACUGGGCACUUAAUAGGUUAGUCGAAUAAAAUAAUAAAAAUGAUUCCAAAAUUAUGCAAAUGAUACAAAAAUAGCAUAAGAAAUCAAUUAUAGAUACGCUUGAGAUGUAUCAACCCCUGCAGGGUUAAAACUUUUCCAAUAGCCAUGCCCGCAGUCAUGUGACUACUUGCUGAUCUAUGCUUGAUCAUAUACAUCAUUAAUGGUUACCUUAAAAACUAUCAAGAUAAGCCUGAGUAUCUUUAAUUGCUUCUGCGUGGGUGAGUCGAGGAAUUAUGCAUGUUUAAAAAGCAUGUGUUCGUCACACCCAUGCAUGAGUGUUGUAACAAGAGAAAUCACAUAGCACGAGACGUGCCCUUACUAAAAGUUUUUUUGUCCAUGUGUUCGUCGAAUUUUAUGUGAACGGUCCUUUGCGAAUUCAACAAAGCAAGUUAGGACCUCGUCUCAACAUGACGUUUUCUCUUUUACCCCGACAUGAAGGUUGCACGUUUCACUACAUCGGGUAUCUCUUCUUGAGCAUCAAAAUGACUGAAUGCAUCUAAAAACUAAUCUUAUAUAUACCCAUGUAUAAAUUGUGACCAUUUCAACGUUAAGAUCUUGAUGCUAGGCCCACCCAACCCAGUGAAUAACAGAAUUUGCUUUUGACUAAAAGAAGGGCUUGGCGGCUUGAGUAUGGUUGGGCUUAGCAGCAGAUAUCAACCUUGGAGGAUUACAAACUCAUAGCUCACCUUGUACAAGAUCAGUUUCACAACAUUGGAGCAUAGCUCCAUGGCAAUCCUUGACAUGUAAAGAGCAUCCUAUGAGUCAUGCCGUGCUCUAGUAAUGCAUGUUUAUCUUACCAACUCAUAUAACAUUACAAAAUCAGUUCCAGGGAACAAUUAAUCAAGGAAAGAACGGAGUGUGUGAAUGGAAAAGCUAAUUCAUACCUAACUCACGUACAAGAUUACAUAAUGGGUUUUGCAAAAAGAUAUGCGACCCAAACUAUGCUUGACAUGUAAAGUGAUGAUUGAUGAGUCAUAUGCAGGUGAUAUGUGCCGAAAAGUACAUUUGAUGAUCAUCCAAGAUUAGACUUGUAGUGCCACCUAACACAAUAAUACGAGAUGAUCAUUUUAAAAAGCAUGGAGUGUGUGAAUGGAAAAGCUAAUUUAUACCUAACUCAUGUACAAGAGUACAGAAUGGGUUUUGCAAAAAGAUAUGUGACCCAAACUAUGCUUGACAUGUAAAUUGAUGAUUGAUGAGUCAUAUCCAGGUGAUAUGUGCCAAAAAGUAUAUUUGAUGAUCAUCCAAGAUUAGACUUGUAGUGCCACCUAACACAACAAUACAAGAUGACCAGUUUAAAAAGCAUCCAUUUGCUUUUGUAAAGUAAUAUAGGAAUGGAAUGCAGCAAACUAGAACAUGCCAACUAUAAGUAUGCAUGUACCAUGAAGACCACAAUCAACCUUUAGACAACCACAAUCAUCCAAGCAACUUGAGGCUAGCCACCAUGAAGACAAUGUUCAUCCUCGCUCUCCUCGCCCUUGCAGCAUCCACCGCCACUGCCCAAUUGGAAACCAUCUGUAGCCAGGGCUUCGGACAAUGCCAACACCACCAACAAGUGGGGCAACAACAGUUGCUGGAUCAGAUGAAGCCAUGUGUGGCUUUCGUACAACAUCAAUGUAGCCCAGUGGGAACACCAUUCUCCCAAACACGGGGAGAGCAACAUAGCAGUUGCCAAACCGUGCAACACCAAUGCUGUCGGCAGCUGGUGCAGAUCCCAGAACAGGCCCGGUGCAAGGCCAUCCAGAGCGUGGAAGAGGCUAUCAGUCAACAACAGCCCCAACAAGAAUGGAAUGAGCCCCAACAGGAAGCACAACUUAAGAGCAUGAGGAUGUUGCUUCAGACCCUGCCGUUUAUGUGCAACAUCUACGUCCCGGUACAAUGCCAGCAACAGCAUCAACUUGGGCGACAACAACAACAACAGUUGCAGGAGCAGUUAAAACCGUGUGCGGCAUUCCUACAACAUCAAUGUAGGCCAAUGACAGUGCCAUUCCCGCAUACACCGGUGCAUAAGCCCACCAGCUGCCAGAGCGUGCAGGCCCAAUGCUGCCGGCAGCUAGCACAGAUCCCAGAGAAAUUCCGCUGCCAAGCCAUCCGUAAUGUGGUAGAGUCUAUCAGGCAACAACAACAUCACCAACCACAACAAGAAGUACAACUUGAGGGCCUGAGGAUGUCACUUCACACCCUACCGUCGAUGUGCAAAAUCUACAUCCCUGUACAAUGCCCAGCCACCACCACCACCCCCUAUAGCAUUACCAUGACAGCUAGCUAUACCGAUGGUACCUGCUAGUUGAUCAAUAUAGCAGUGGCAAAAUAAAAAUGGCAUGCAUCAUCAUGUGUGCCUAGUACUAAUUGCAACAUGAAAAUAAUGAACAGAUGUUCCUGAAUGAAGCACUUGUCUAAAUAAAGCUACAUGUUUGCAUGAUAUAUUAAGUCUAUGAUUUUUCUGACUGAACUUAACCAUCACCAUACUCUGUAUAU
RNAcentral lists this long non-coding RNA (12679 nucleotides) under Triticum aestivum (bread wheat). Its description in RNAcentral is "long non-coding RNA (TAES_LNC002496)". The record is from RNAcentral. Lineage: Eukaryota; Viridiplantae; Streptophyta; Magnoliopsida; Poales; Poaceae.